UCACCCUUGCAGGCAGACCUGGAGACACCCACUCUGACCCCCUCCAGCAUUGCAGGGGAACCUGUCGUUUACAAGAGGAUGUUCAGUUCACAACAACGGGGAGGUUGGUCCAAAAAUGCUUCAGGGAGAGGUGUUGGGCACAGGUCUGCAGCCAGGACAGGCUGCCCUGUUGUCUUCUGCAUUGAUAAGAGAUGGUGAAAUGCUGCUGCAGCGAAGUGAAACGGAGUCACGAGUGACACCAGAGAGGGUGGGAUGUUACAUGUGUGGAAGAGAAGACCCAGCUAUCUGCCAAAGCCAUCAGCCUGCAAGCACCACAGGAACUCAUGUGCUCUCCCUGCUGAUCUUGCUGGUUUUGUCAGGAAAAGCAGUCCUGGCUGCAGAGGACGUCUGGUGCUCACAGGAGGGACAAAGCAGAUCCAAAACUGUAGGAGCAGUAAGCUCUGAUGAAAGACAGUGAGUGCAGGCUGGAAGAGGUGACUGAUGAUGCCAGAACAUCACUGUUGGUGCCCAGCUGAUGGCCAUGGUUUGUGCACAGGCAGGACAGGUGGGAAGGAGUGAAGCACUGGUGGGUGAGGGCUCAGGAUGACACUCCUG
RNAcentral lists this long non-coding RNA (594 nucleotides) under Junco hyemalis (dark-eyed junco). Its description in RNAcentral is "lncRNA (ENSJHYG00000013355.1)". The record is from RNAcentral. Lineage: Eukaryota; Metazoa; Chordata; Aves; Passeriformes; Passerellidae.